RNAcentral lists this ribosomal RNA (468 nucleotides) under uncultured bacterium. RNAcentral describes it as "partial 16S ribosomal RNA". It matches the Rfam family "Bacterial small subunit ribosomal RNA", at positions 28 to 507 of the family's 1533-position model. The record is from RNAcentral.
GACGAACGCCGGCGGCGUGCUUAACACAUGCAAGUCGAACGGAAAGGCCCUGCUUUUGUGGGGUGCUCGAGUGGCGAACGGGUGAGUAACACGUGAGUAACCUGCCCUUGACUUUGGGAUAACUUCAGGAAACUGGGGCUAAUACCGGAUAGGAGCUCCUGCUGCAUGGUGGGGGUUGGAAAGUUUCGGCGGUUGGGGAUGGACUCGCGGCUUAUCAGCUUGUUGGUGGGGUAGUGGCUUACCAAGGCUUUGACGGGUAGCCGGCCUGAGAGGGUGACCGGCCGCAUUGGGACUGAGAUACGGCCCAGACUCCUACGGGAGGCAGCAGUGGGGAAUAUUGCACAAUGGGCGGAAGCCUGAUGCAGCAACGCCGCGUGCGGGAUGACGGCCUUCGGGUUGUAAACCGCUUUCGCCUGUGACGAAGCGUGAGUGACGGUAAUGGGUAAAGAAGCACCGGCUAACUACGUG